GUUACGUGUGACAUCAACGGCUUAAAAAAGAAGAUUAAAAGUGCAUUUGUUAGUAGAGAACAAGAACCAGAAGUUAUGAUGCUUCAGCAAUGUUAGUUGCAACAACCACUUUUCUUUUACCAGGAGGCGUAGGCUUGAAAAUCCUGGAUUGCAUUUCACUAAGGAGUGCACUAUAAACUGGUAAAAUUAUAAGUUCGGGUACGCUUUUACCUAAUCCUUUCACUCUCUCAUAGAGACACUAGCAAGCAUGAUAAAUUUAUUCUUGACUUGUUAAAAAAAACAAGGAUGUCACCUUCAGGUUCUGUUAAACUGGAUUUGCAUUUCAGUAAUAAGUGCAGCAUCAAGGUAGCCACUUUUGAGUUGUUUGGUACCCCAAACUGCAUGAGAAAUCAGUCAAAAGUAAGCUAACAACUGUUCAAAACAACACAAGUACAGAUCUUCCUUUCAACCUCUACAAAAACAUGAAAUUAAGCAGCAAAAUACGUUUAAAUUGAAGUAAUUAAAGUGAUCGAUCAUACAUUUUAAGCUGAUGCGUGUGUGUGCUCAGGAGACUAUCAAAACAGGUGUAAGAGUUUGAAAGAAGAAAAGAGGGAGAUCGAAGAGGAGAAAGAAAAAGUUGGAGCUGGAUCUUAGCCAGAUGGGAGCUGAGCUUAGAGAGAGAGAUAGUUCAGACAAAGGCAGAGAAAGUGAAGAAGCGAGAUUAGUGAUGGCGUUGAGCCGGCCGUCGGAUGUAUCUAUAUCGCUCCCUAUGCAUUAUUCACACUUUUGAGUUUUGCCAUUGUGUUCCAGUGUGAUUGAAUCUGAGAAACAUAUUUUGCGUAUGGCGAAACAAAUAAGAUGUUCGUGUUUCCCAUUCUAAAUAAAUUUCUGCACAUUAGACGUAUAGUCAUUGCAUACGUUAAGUUAUUUCCUUCAAAUUUCGUUCGUGUCCUUUUUUCUGCAGACCCAGCAUUAUUAGUUGAUGUUCCAAGAGAUAAUAACAUAACAGCCGAAGCCGAAGUUAUGAAGUCCUUGAACAUUCCCAAGGGGGUAAAGCGUGUGCUUUUCAGAACAUUGAACACCGAUAGGAGGUUAAUGUGGAAAAAACAAUUUGACACAAGCUAUGUUGGAUUUAUGAAGGAUGGAGAACAGGGGCUCAAGGAUUUAUCAAAAUCCUUAUAAGGGUCUAGAUUAGCCAAGAGAUUGAUAGUUGACUCCACAAACAAUAAUAUGUUCUAGCACUUGUGUUAUUAAUAAUAUCAAAAAGGCAUACUGAGGAUCAUUGUAUUAUUAAUAAUAUAUCAAUUAUUAUGUGUCUUGAACUGGUGUUGUGGAUCAUUUUUAAAAGAAUAUGUUGCUA
Helianthus annuus (common sunflower) is the source of this 1339-nucleotide long non-coding RNA. RefSeq lists it as uncharacterized. Lineage: Eukaryota; Viridiplantae; Streptophyta; Magnoliopsida; Asterales; Asteraceae. The transcript has 5 exons. The record is from RefSeq and is a predicted model, not a curated record.